UGUGACGCGCCUUAGUGGGCACACGUGCUA
Molecule: non-coding RNA, 30 nt
Filed under: Homo sapiens (human)
Lineage: Eukaryota; Metazoa; Chordata; Mammalia; Primates; Hominidae
Source: RNAcentral